Peromyscus maniculatus bairdii (prairie deer mouse) is the source of this 902-nucleotide non-coding RNA. The record is from RefSeq and is a predicted model, not a curated record. NCBI's taxonomy places the organism in Eukaryota, Metazoa, Chordata, Mammalia, Rodentia, Cricetidae.
GAGGAUCUUGUCUAGAAUUCUUAGUCACUGGACUGGUUCUAAUUGUUGUUUCUGUUCUUUGUAGUUUAUCUCAGGUCUAUCACUAUUUUACACGAACUUCUUGCAAGACCUCUCAUGGAUUCAGUACUUCAGCAUUCCUCAUUAUGGAUUUACAGCUUUGCAGCACAGUGAAUUCCUGGAACAAAACUUCUGUCCAGAACAUAACACAGCAGAAGUCAGUAGAUGUCAGAACUAUGUAAUAUGUACUGGUGAAGAAUUCUUGACGAUCCAGGGCAUCGAUCUCUCAUCAUGGGGCUUCUGGAAGAAUCAUGUGGCCUUAGCUUGUAUAAUGAUUAUCUUCUUACCAAUUACCUAUGUGCAAUUAUUAGUUCUUAAGAAAAAGAGACAUUUUUAAAAUCACUCCUCCACUUUCUUUGAAUUCAUCUGACAUUGGAAAUAAAUUAAAACUUUCCCUGUGAGUGGCUGUGUCAGAGGAGCAGCAGGUGGCACUGACGCUUCAGGAAAGUCACCAGAGUGCAAGGCACUGAUGGUGAAUCUCUGAUAGCUCACCUGCUCUGCAUCUGCUCUUCAGUUUCUCUGACCUGCUGAAGGCUGCCACCCAUCAACACCCAAGGUGAGAACCUGACAUGUUGGAGGGGUGUGUGUGUGUGUGUGUGUGUUAGUGUUAAUGUUAGUUUCCCCCCCUUUUUUUUGGCCCAAGAGAAAUAAGUUUUACUCCCUCAGAUAGAAAAGUCAAUGGAGUGAUCAGUCCACAGACUCUGUGGCUCCCCUUCAAUUCCUGGGGUGCUGAAGGCUGCUUUCUACAGCAGCAAAACUUAAUUUGCUGUUGUUGUUUUGUAAAUACAGCCUAAAAACCAACAUUCAGGGUCUUAGGUUCUUUGGUAGAAAGUUUUUUACAGUUA